RNAcentral lists this ribosomal RNA (254 nucleotides) under uncultured bacterium. Its description in RNAcentral is "partial 16S ribosomal RNA". It matches the Rfam family "Bacterial small subunit ribosomal RNA", at positions 524 to 776 of the family's 1533-position model. The record is from RNAcentral.
UACGUAGGGGGGCAAGCGUUGUCCGGAAUUAUUGGGCGUAAAGAGCGUGUAGGCGGCUCGGUAAGUCUGCUGUGAAAGUCCAGGGCUCAACCCUGGAAUGCCGGUGGAAACUGUCGGGCUCGAGUCCGGAAGAGGCGAGUGGAAUUCCUGGUGUAGCGGUGAAAUGCGCAGAUAUCAGGAGGAACACCAAUGGCGAAGGCAGCUCGCUGGGACGGUACUGACGCUGAGGAGCGAAAGCGUGGGGAGCGAACAGG